GUAUUUAUCUCGAUAUGGCCUAAUUAACGAGUGAUCAAUAAUGUCAGUGGCCUAGAUUCGUAACCUUCAUUGCACUUUGAAGGGGCAUUGGUCUACCAUCUGCCCAAGUGGUAAAAUGGACGUCAUAAUUUGUGAUAGGAGGAUUUGCAGUCGCGCAACCCCUAA
Molecule: small nuclear RNA, 165 nt
Organism: Dendrobium catenatum
Lineage: Eukaryota; Viridiplantae; Streptophyta; Magnoliopsida; Asparagales; Orchidaceae
Product: U1 spliceosomal RNA
Exons: 1
Source: RefSeq, a predicted model, not a curated record